AACGCACAUUGCACUGUCUGGAAUUCCGGACAGUAUGUCUGUUUGAGCAUCAUUUCUUCCUCCUGUCUCUUGAUUGCAAACAAGGUCUUUGGACUUGAAUGAACUUUCAAGACGUGCAGGGACUUGAAGCGUAGUCAGCAAUUGUUGCUGGCUUGUUUCCAAAGAACCGUUAAACAGUUGGCACGUACAAACUGCACAGUUAAGUCCGUCAGGAAUCUCUGCUGUGGUGACCGUGUUAGCGUGUUUACCAUUCACAUCGUUGACAAGGGUGCGCACGCAAGCGCGUACUCUGAACUUUGAUCUCAAAUCAGACAAGACUACCCGCUGAACUUAA
Molecule: unclassified non-coding RNA, 334 nt
Filed under: uncultured fungus
Lineage: Eukaryota; Fungi
Description: partial contains 5.8S ribosomal RNA, internal transcribed spacer 2, and large subunit ribosomal RNA
Source: RNAcentral